GAGGGUGUAGUUCAGUGGUAGAACGUCGUAUGUUACAUCUGCCUAAAACUUAUAGAAAUAAUUGCUAAUAGAGAUCUUGUAGAGCCUUAAUUAUCCGAGACUCGUGGUUCAAUUCCCGGCGCCCUCC
Non-coding RNA from Zopfia rhizophila CBS 207.26, 127 nucleotides. The record is from the annotation of a GenBank genome assembly. Lineage: Eukaryota; Fungi; Ascomycota; Dothideomycetes; Zopfiaceae.